GAUCCUGUGAUGUAUGUUGUCCAUAAUCCCAUAAAUUUGUACACAUUCACCCUCAUGAGGCAGUCUUGGACUUGCUCCACUCCUACUGUGGUACGUUCAGGGACAUGAGAAGCAUGGGAAGACUGAAUGUCAUUGAAGAUUGAGGCAGAGAACUUGCUCAGGCACAGUCCCCUUCUGUUCCCAAUCUCCCCAACAAUACCCGGAGGAAGACUCCUGCUGAUUCCCUUCUGGGGAGCAGGAGCUGCCACAUGGACAUCAACACACAGACAUCUUCCUUCCAUUGCCCGUCCUUCAAAUCCUGGAAAACUGCAUGGUGGGUUGCUCUGGAAAUGUGC
This 335-nucleotide long non-coding RNA is filed under the name Gallus gallus (chicken). Lineage: Eukaryota; Metazoa; Chordata; Aves; Galliformes; Phasianidae. The record is from RNAcentral.